This 31-nucleotide non-coding RNA is filed under the name Homo sapiens (human). The record is from RNAcentral. Lineage: Eukaryota; Metazoa; Chordata; Mammalia; Primates; Hominidae.
GGGAAAUACCCGAAGAGCCCUGGGUGCUGUA